AGAGUUUGAUCAUGGCUCAGAACGUACGCUGGCGGCACGCCUAACACAUGCAAGUCGAACGAAGUAGCAAUACUUAGUGGCAGACGGGUGAGUAACAUGUAGGUAUCUGCCCUUUGGCCUGGAAUAACACGAGGAAACUUGUGCUAAUACCGGAUAAGUCUUUACGGAGAAAGCUUUAUGCACCAUUGGAUGAGCCUGCACUUGAUUAGUUUGUUGGUGGGGUAAUGGCCUACCAAGACUGUGAUCAAUAGCUGAUUUGAGAGGAUGAUCAGCCACAUUGGGACUGAGACACGGCCCAAACUCCUACGGGAGGCAGCAGUGGGGAAUCUUGCACAAUGGAGGAAACUCUGAUGCAGCGAUGCCGCGUGAGUGAAGAAGGCCCUUGGGUUGUAAAGCUCUUUCGUCGGGGAAGAAAAUGACUGUACCCGAAUAAGAAGGUCCGGCUAACUUCGUGCCAGCAGCCGCGGUAAUACGAAGGGACCUAGCGUAGUUCGGAAUUACUGGGCUUAAAGAGUUCGUAGGUGGUUGAAAAAGUUAGUGGUGAAAUCCCAGAGCUUAACUCUGGAACUGCCAUUAAAACUUUUCAGCUAGAGUAUGAUAGAGGAAAGCAGAAUUUCUAGUGUAGAGGUGAAAUUCGUAGAUAUUAGAAAGAAUACCAAUUGCGAAGGCAGCUUUCUGGAUCAUUACUGACACUGAGGAACGAAAGCAUGGGUAGCGAAGAGGAUUAGAUACCCUCGUAGUCCAUGCCGUAAACGAUGUGUGUUAGACGUUGGAAAUUUAUUUUCAGUGUCGCAGGGAAACCGAUAAACACACCGCCUGGGGAGUACGACCGCAAGGUUAAAACUCAAAUGAAUUGACGGGGACCCGCACAAGUAGUGGAGCAUGUGGUUUAAUUCGAAGAUACGCGCAGAACCUUACCAACACUUGACAUGUUCGUCGCGACUCUAAGAGAUUAGAGUUUUCGGUUCGGCCGGACGAAACACAGGUGCUGCAUGGCUGUCGUCAGCUCGUGUCGUGAGAUGUUGGGUUAAGUCCCGCAACGAGCGCAACCCUCACUUUUAGUUGCCAUCAUUAAGUUGGGCACUCUGAAAGAACUGCCAGUGAUAAGCUGGAGGAAGGUGGGGAUGACGUCAAGUCCUCAUGGCCCUUACGUGUUGGGCUACACACGUGCUACAAUGGUAUCUACAACAGGAAGCAAAACUGCGAAGUUAAGCAAAUCCCUAAAAGAUACCUCAGUUCGGAUUGCACUCUGCAACUCGAGUGCAUGAAGCUGGAAUUACUAGUAAUCGUGGAUCAGCGUGCCACGGUGAAUGCGUUCCCGGGUCUUGUACACACCGCCCGUCACACCAUGGGAGUUGGUUCUACCUUAAGGCAAGGUUUUAAACCCUUGACCACGGUAUAGUCAGCGACUGGGGUGAAGUCGUAACAAGGUAGCCGUAGGGGAACCUGCGGCUG
This 1455-nucleotide ribosomal RNA is filed under the name Pelagibacteraceae bacterium AG-390-L03. RNAcentral describes it as "bacterial SSU rRNA". It matches the Rfam family "Bacterial small subunit ribosomal RNA". RNAcentral also lists the same sequence under 1 other name. The record is from RNAcentral. Lineage: Bacteria; Pseudomonadati; Pseudomonadota; Alphaproteobacteria; Candidatus Pelagibacterales; Candidatus Pelagibacteraceae.